CAACAUCUCCAUGUCCAUGACUUGUGAAACAUAGUCAUCAACUAAUACAUGUGCUAGUCUAAUAUUCAUGUGUGUCCUCACAUGAACUCCGACUAGGGACAACUUUAGAAUAACCAUACAAGUAAAGAGCUUCACACACAAUUCACAUAAUUGCAAAUCAAUUCAAUUAGCCUUUAAUGGAUAUUCAAGGAACACAAUAUAAAUCAUGGAUAAAAUGGAAUAUCAUCAUCUCUAUGAUUGCCUCUAGGGCAUACCUCCAACAGUACCCCGGCC
This 273-nucleotide long non-coding RNA is filed under the name Setaria viridis. RNAcentral's name for it is "long non-coding RNA (SVIR_LNC008060)". The record is from RNAcentral. Lineage: Eukaryota; Viridiplantae; Streptophyta; Magnoliopsida; Poales; Poaceae.